GAUUCCGUAGCUCAGUUGGUAGAGCAUAUCACUUUUAAUGAUAGGGCCCUGGGUUCGAGUCCCAGCGGGAUCACCA
This 76-nucleotide transfer RNA is filed under the name Sphingobacteriales bacterium SCN 48-20. RNAcentral's name for it is "tRNA-Lys". It matches the Rfam family "tRNA". From Rfam's summary of the family: Transfer RNA (tRNA) molecules are approximately 80 nucleotides in length. Their secondary structure includes four short double-helical elements and three loops (D, anti-codon, and T loops). Lineage: Bacteria; Pseudomonadati; Bacteroidota; Sphingobacteriia; Sphingobacteriales. RNAcentral also lists the same sequence under 1 other name. The record is from RNAcentral.